This 767-nucleotide ribosomal RNA is filed under the name uncultured bacterium. Its description in RNAcentral is "bacterial SSU rRNA". It matches the Rfam family "Bacterial small subunit ribosomal RNA", at positions 28 to 774 of the family's 1533-position model. The record is from RNAcentral.
GACUAACGCUGGCGGCGUGCCUAACACAUGCAAGUCGGACGAAUCAUCUUUUGUAGCAAUAUGGAGGAUGGUGAGUGGCGCACGGGUGAGUAACACAUAGACGAUCUGCCUUUCAGACAGGGACAACUCAGGGAAACUUGAGCUAAUACCGGAUAAGACCCCAUGAAGGGAUUCACGUGAUCAAAGGGGGGAGCAAUCUCCCGCUGGAAGAUGAGUCUAUGUCCUAUCAGCUAGUUGGUGGGGUAAGGGCCUACCAAGGCGAAGACGGGUAGCCGGCCUGAGAGGGUGAACGGCCACACUGGAACUGAGACACGGUCCAGACUCCUACGGGAGGCAGCAGUGAGGAAUUUUCCGCAAUGGGCGCAAGCCUGACGGAGCGACGCCGCGUGAGGGAUGAAGGUUUUCGGAUCGUAAACCUCUUUUACUAAGGAAAAAGGUUCUGAUGUUCAUACCAUCAGGAUUUGAUUGUACUUGAUGAAUAAGCCCCGGCUAACUACGUGCCAGCAGCCGCGGUAAUACGUAGGGGGCGAGCGUUGUCCGGAGUUACUGGGCGUAAAGCGCGUGUAGGCGGUUGUUUAAGUCAGGUGUGAAAUCCUUCGGCUCAACCGAGGAACUGCGCCUGAAACUGACCGACUGGAGUCUUGGAGGGGCAGCCGGAAUUCCUGGUGUAACGGUGAAAUGUGUAGAUAUCAGGAGGAACACCUGUGGCGAAAGCGGGCUGCUGGACAAUGACUGACGCUGAGACGCGAAAGCGUGGGUAGCAAACA